GAGGAAUAUUGGUCAAUGGACGCAAGUCUGAACCAGCCAUGCCGCGUGCAGGAUGACGGCCCUAUGGGUUGUAAACUGCUUUUAUUCGGGAAGAAACCUUUGCUCGUGAGCGAAGCUGACGGUACUGAAUGAAUAAGCAUCGGCUAACUCCGUGCCAGCAGCCGCGGUAAUACGGAGGAUGCAAGCGUUAUCCGGAUUUAUUGGGUUUAAAGGGUGCGUAGGCGGAAAAAUAAGUCAGUGGUGAAAGCCUGCAGCUCAACUGUAGAAUUGCCAUUGAUACUGUCUUUCUUGAGUACAUUUGAAGUGGGCGGAAUGUGUUGUGUAGCGGUGAAAUGCAUAGAUAUGACACAGAACACCAAUUGCGAAAGCAGCUCACUAAGUUGUCACUGACGCUGAGGCACGAAAGCGUGGGUAGCAAAC
RNAcentral lists this ribosomal RNA (420 nucleotides) under uncultured bacterium. Its description in RNAcentral is "bacterial SSU rRNA". It matches the Rfam family "Bacterial small subunit ribosomal RNA", at positions 356 to 773 of the family's 1533-position model. The record is from RNAcentral.